GUCUACGGCCAUGUCACCCUGACCAAGCCCGAUCCCGUCUAUCUCGGAAGCUAAGCAGGGGCGGGCCUGGUUAGUACUUGGAUGGGAGACCACCUAGGAAGACCAGGUGCUGGAGGCG
RNAcentral lists this ribosomal RNA (118 nucleotides) under Pteropus alecto (black flying fox). Lineage: Eukaryota; Metazoa; Chordata; Mammalia; Chiroptera; Pteropodidae. The record is from RNAcentral.